This is a non-coding RNA of Leptonychotes weddellii (Weddell seal), 624 nucleotides long. The record is from RefSeq and is a predicted model, not a curated record. NCBI's taxonomy places the organism in Eukaryota, Metazoa, Chordata, Mammalia, Carnivora, Phocidae.
GAUUGGUUGGGGAAAGAGGCACCGUGGUGGGGUCGAAGCUGCGCGGCCUCGGCAGCUGGGGGAGACGGAAGUGGUGAGAGCGCGGCCUCGGAGGGUCGGGCGGACGCCGCCUGGUAAGAAGCAGACAGCCAGGACCCUCACCACAGUAGAAUGGGAACCCCUUACCUAACCCCGGAGAACUCGGAGGAGGAGGCAGUGAGAUGAAAAGAGAGCGGAGAGUUGCAGGCCCUUGCUCUGGCUGUAUCUUUUCAGUUUCUUCAAGUGUCCCCUGUGCAGGUUAAGGAAUUCAGUUGGUGAGAGGACCUCUCCUUCCCUCCGCAGGCAUGUGGGUAUGUGGUUCUGGUCUCUUCCUAGAAAGCCUGCUGGUCUUGGUCCCCACCCACUAAUAGCCCCCUUCCUUUUUUCUUCUGUGACUUUCCGAAAGGACCAUGGGCUUCAGAGUUAGCCGAGUCUAUUUUUGAAUCCUAGCACCACCAUUUAAAUAGCUUAGGUAACUCGCAUAUUUUCUUUCUAAGCCUGACCUCUCACCAGCAAAACAGGUUAAUUCUUGGAGAGUUGAAAGGUUUUAGUGAGGGGCGCCUGGGUGGCUCAGUCGUUAGGUGUCUGCUUUGGCUCAGGUCAUGU